UUCCAAACCGAUUUAUCUUCCUCUACAAAAAUCCAAUUCACGUUAAAUCUAUCUCUUGCUCUUGCUUUCUCCAGCUUUCCAUCACGUAUUUUUUUUUUAAAUCAUUCCCAGAUCCAUCGAUUUGAAAUUGUAUAGAAAAAACAAUGGUAUUCGAUCCAAGUUUAUUGUCUUCUAUUUUUAUUAGAUUAAUUUCUCUUUAUUCCAGAUUCAUUUUUUUUCUCGGAAGAGCACAAUCGAUCAAAGUAUCAAUAGCGGAAAAAGAAACUGAACUGCACUCAUCUAUGACUGAAAGCUUCUGAUCAAGCCAUGAUAUUAAGUUAUAGAAGCUACGGUCUCAAAG
Arabidopsis lyrata subsp. lyrata is the source of this 340-nucleotide long non-coding RNA. RefSeq lists it as uncharacterized. The record is from RefSeq and is a predicted model, not a curated record. The transcript is spliced from 3 exons. NCBI's taxonomy places the organism in Eukaryota, Viridiplantae, Streptophyta, Magnoliopsida, Brassicales, Brassicaceae.